GUUUUGAUAGUUUAAUAAAAAUAUUGGUUUUGUAAUCCAAAGAUAAAUCUUUUUUUAAAACU
This 62-nucleotide transfer RNA is filed under the name Uroctonus mordax (western forest scorpion). RNAcentral describes it as "tRNA-Thr". It matches the Rfam family "tRNA". From Rfam's summary of the family: Transfer RNA (tRNA) molecules are approximately 80 nucleotides in length. Their secondary structure includes four short double-helical elements and three loops (D, anti-codon, and T loops). The record is from RNAcentral. Lineage: Eukaryota; Metazoa; Arthropoda; Arachnida; Scorpiones; Chactidae.